This is a non-coding RNA of Rattus norvegicus (Norway rat), 89 nucleotides long. The record is from Rfam. Lineage: Eukaryota; Metazoa; Chordata; Mammalia; Rodentia; Muridae.
GUGCUAAUUGUGGCUGAGCCCCUGACCUUGAACCUGGGAUCCUGCCCAUGAUCUCCUGGUGAUACCGUCAGGGGUAGAUUCCUCGUUAG